AUGUGGUGGAGGCCCAGCGGCGCGGCUUCCUGCGGGUGCCAUGGCGUUGGGUGGGCUCCUGUGCACAUCCGAGAGAGAGGUGAGAGCAGAGAAAUCACUACCGUUCCAAGGUCUCUGGUCUGGGAGCUUGUGAAGAAGAGCAAGUGCUUCUUGAUCAAGCAAUUUGGCAACAACAACGCCAAGGUCCAGUUUCACAAGCCCAACAACCUCUACAAUGUCCACUACUACAAGUUCUCAGGCUUAGCAAACAGCAAGACCGUGGCGGUCCAGCCAUCAGCGGGAGAGGAGAAGGCUGUUGUCCUGUCCACAAGCAAGACCAAGAAGAAGGACACCCAUGCCAAGCUGUUGCACAAGACUCUAAUGCGCAAGCAGUUCUGCAAGAUGGCCAAGUAUGUCCAGAACCAGGGUUGCGACCUUGCGAAUAGACCAAGGGUUGCGUGGAGAGUCCAGCUCCUUUGAAAGCACGUACAUAGACAGCUCAGGCCCAUUAGGCCCCCAAUUUAA
Molecule: ribosomal RNA, 504 nt
Filed under: Triticum aestivum (bread wheat)
Lineage: Eukaryota; Viridiplantae; Streptophyta; Magnoliopsida; Poales; Poaceae
Description: partial small subunit ribosomal RNA
Source: RNAcentral